Molecule: non-coding RNA, 552 nt
Filed under: Pongo abelii (Sumatran orangutan)
Lineage: Eukaryota; Metazoa; Chordata; Mammalia; Primates; Hominidae
Source: RNAcentral
AAAGUACCUGGACUUCUAUGCCCAUGCUUCUAGCAGCCAGCCUCCUAAAAUACCUCUAGUUGAAGCCAAAGUUAGAAUCCUUCUAUGAAACUACAGGAUUAAAAUGGGAUGGUUACAUGACCCAGGCUUGACCAAUCAGAUCAUCCAAACCCUUUGCCACAGUGAUUGGUCCAGGGAUACAUGCAUGAGCCAGCUCAGGUGGCAUUGUAUUAUGCACCAAGAGUGAACCAGAUAGAGGAAGUUGCUCCUUAAGCUUGCAGGUCUGAAAGAACAGGGAAUUAUCUCUCUUCAAAGGCCUAAACCACACUCAUCUUGUGGAUGACACUGGAGCUGUGACAGUCUGUUCUGUCCAGGCUGGGUGUCUUUUAUUUUUACUGGAAAUAAGAUUAUCACAGAAUUGCUGGCUCUUGAUACUCUUUCCCAUCAACUCCCCCAAUGGAAAUGCUUUCAACCAGUGCAGAAGUAAAAAAUUACCCAAAGGCUGUAUGAUGCAAACUCUUUCUUUGGCUUUAUCUUACUGAUAAGAAUAAAAAUAACACCUCACGUAUGUAU